Molecule: ribosomal RNA, 492 nt
Filed under: uncultured bacterium
Lineage: Bacteria
Description: partial 16S ribosomal RNA
Rfam family: Bacterial small subunit ribosomal RNA
Source: RNAcentral
AGUGAACGCUGGCGGUAGGCCUAACACAUGCAAGUCGAACGGCAGCACAGUAAGAGCUUGCUCUUACGGGUGGCGAGUGGCGGACGGGUAAGGAAUACAUCGGAAUCUACUUUUUCGUGGGGGAUAACGUAGGGAAACUUACGCUAAUACCGCAUACGACCUACGGGUGAAAGCAGGGGAUCUUCGGACCUUGCGCGAUUGAAUGAGCCGAUGUCGGAUUAGCUGGUUGGCGGGGUAAAGGCCCACCAAGGCGACGAUCCGUAGCUGGUCUGAGAGGAUGAUCAGCCACACUGGAACUGAGACACGGUCCAGACUCCUACGGGAGGCAGCAGUGGGGAAUAUUGGACAAUGGGCGCAAGCCUGAUCCAGCCAUACCGCGUGGGUGAAGAAGGCCUUCGGGUUGUAAAGCCCUUUUGUUGGGAAAGAAAAGCAGCAGGUUAAUACCCCGCUGUUCUGACGGUACCCAAAGAAUAAGCACCGGCUAACUUCGUG